This 205-nucleotide long non-coding RNA is filed under the name Elaeis guineensis (African oil palm). RNAcentral describes it as "long non-coding RNA (EGUI_LNC006071)". Lineage: Eukaryota; Viridiplantae; Streptophyta; Magnoliopsida; Arecales; Arecaceae. The record is from RNAcentral.
GCUUUGAGAUGUGAGCCAUAAGGGUGAUGUGGGCUACCACACACAUCCUAGUCCCAUUCCAAAAAUAUUUUCUCUUCUACUCAUGCCAACACUUGCAUGCAAAUAGUUUUUGCACCAAGAGUCCUUCUCAAUUUGGACUCCUCAUAUUUUAGUGUUAACAUGGGAUUAGAUGCCUCAUUUUGGACUGCUUCCAGGUGGCACAACC